This 304-nucleotide ribosomal RNA is filed under the name uncultured bacterium. RNAcentral's name for it is "bacterial SSU rRNA". It matches the Rfam family "Bacterial small subunit ribosomal RNA", at positions 193 to 507 of the family's 1533-position model. The record is from RNAcentral.
GAUACGACCGAAAGGAAGAAACUCCGUACUUAAAGAGUGGGCUCGCGGCUGUAUUAGUUAGUUGGNGGGUAAUGGCCUACCAAGACGAUGAUCAGUAGCCGAGCUGAGAGGCACAACGGCCACAUUGGGACUGAGACACGGCCCAGACUCCUACGGGAGGCAGCAGUCGGGAAUAUUGCACAAUGGAGGAAACUCUGAUGCAGUGACGCCGCGUAUAGGAAGAAGGUCUUUGGAUUGUAAACUAUUGUCGACAGGGAAGAAGAAAAUGACAGUACCUGUGGAGGAAGCUCCGGCUAACUACGUG